GGCACAGUGGUUAAGAGCUUGGCUGCUAACCAAAAGGUCGGUGGUUCAAACCCGCCCUGUGGCU
This 64-nucleotide transfer RNA is filed under the name Loxodonta africana (African savanna elephant). It matches the Rfam family "tRNA". From Rfam's summary of the family: Transfer RNA (tRNA) molecules are approximately 80 nucleotides in length. The record is from Rfam by way of RNAcentral. Lineage: Eukaryota; Metazoa; Chordata; Mammalia; Proboscidea; Elephantidae.